CCACAUUGGGACUGAGACACGGCCCAGACUNUACGGGAGGCAGCAGUAGGGAAUNUUNNNCAAUGGACGAAAGUCUGACCGAGCAACGCCGCGUGAGUGAAGAAGGNUUUUCGGAUCGUAAAACUCUGUUGUUAGAGAAGAACANNGNNGAUAGUAACUGUANNUCNCGUGACGGUAUCUAACCAGAAAGCCACGGCUAACUACGUGCCAGCAGCCGCGGUAAUACGUAGGUGGCAAGCGUUGUCCGGAUUUAUUGGGCGUAAAGCGAGCGCAGGCGGUUUUUUAAGUCUGAUGUGAAAGCCCNCGGCUCAACCGGGGAGGNUCAUUGGAAACUGGGAGACUUGAGUGCAGAAGAGGACAGUGGAAUUCCAUGUGUAGCGGUGAAAUGCGUAGAUAUAUGGAGGAACACCAGUGGCGAAGGCGGCUGUCUGGUCUGUAACUGACGCUGAGGCUCGAAAGCAUGGGGAGCAAACAGGAUUAGAUACCCUGGUAGUCCACGCCGUAAACGAUGAGUGNUAAGUGUUGGAGGGUUUCCGCCCUUCAGUGCUGCAGCAAACGCAUUAAGCAUUCCGCCUGGGGAGUACGACCGCAAGGUUGAAACUCAAAGGAAUUGACGGGGGCCCGCACAAGCGGUGGAGCAUGUGGUUUAAUUCGAAGCAACGCGAAGAACCUUACCAGGUCUUGACAUCCUUUGACCACUCUAGAGAUAGAGCUUUCCCUUCGGGGACAAAGUGACAGGUGGUGCAUGGUUGUCGUCAGCUCGUGUCGUGAGAUGUUGGGUUAAGUCCCGCAACGAGCGCAACCCUUAUUGUUAGUUGCCAUCAUUUAGUUGGGCACUCUAGCGAGACUGCCGGUGACAAACCGGAGGAAGGUGGGGAUGACGUCAAAUCAUCAUGCCCCUUAUGACCUGGGCUACACACGUGCUACAAUGGGAAGUACAACGAGUCGCGAGACCGCGAGGUCAUGCUAAUCUCUUAAAGCCUCUCUCAGUUCGGACUGCAGGCUGCAACUCGCCUGCANGANNUCGGAAUCGCUAGUAAUCG
This 1043-nucleotide ribosomal RNA is filed under the name Enterococcus faecalis. RNAcentral describes it as "bacterial SSU rRNA". It matches the Rfam family "Bacterial small subunit ribosomal RNA", at positions 308 to 1344 of the family's 1533-position model. Lineage: Bacteria; Bacillati; Bacillota; Bacilli; Lactobacillales; Enterococcaceae. The record is from RNAcentral.